Molecule: long non-coding RNA, 1098 nt
Filed under: Pavo cristatus (Indian peafowl)
Lineage: Eukaryota; Metazoa; Chordata; Aves; Galliformes; Phasianidae
Description: lncRNA (ENSPSTG00000008346.1)
Source: RNAcentral
AUGGCGGCCUUUGUGCCGGCGGCCUCCAAGCAGCGCCCGGCGCGGCGGCCAGUGCCGAUCUGCGCGGCCCCGCUUCCGCCCCGCGCCGCCGCCCCGCGCCGCCCACGGCCACGCCCACCCGCCUCGAGGCCACGCCCUCCUGCUCGAGGCCUCGCCUCCCUCAGACGACGCCCACUGAUUGGCCCCGCCCGUCUCUGGCUCCGCCCCCUCCUCGCCCCACCGACGGCGGCGGCACCGGGAGCGCCGCGCCCUCUGGCGGUAGCGCUGGGACGGCACCUCCCGGGGGCGGCGCACGGCCCGGUGCGUCCCGCUGCUCCCCGCACACCCGGAGCCCCACACGCAGCGCACCCCCUCGUCCCGCCGUGCACCCCCAGCACGGAAUCCCGGUGUUCCCUGCUGCUCCAGCGCACCGGGGAUGCCGUGCUCUUCCCCCCCGCCCAGGCUCCGCCCCCCCGAUCCCAUCGGGCGAUUCCCGGCGUUUGGGGCCGCCGCAGGACGCGGCUUUUUGGCCCCGGCCGCGCCGUUCCCACGGCAACCAGCGCUGAGCGAGCGGUAACCAUGGCGACGCACAAAGCCCCUUCCGCGCCGCCCUGGCACCGCUGCAACCCCGCACCCAUCGCCCGGCGGCACCGCAUCCCCCGGGGACAGCCCCGCACCCGGCACGGUACUGCGGGGACGGCCCUGCGGCACCGCCCGCUCCCAACCGCUCGUGUUCCCCCUCCCCCCUCCCCGUGCCCCGCGAACGGAGCUCAGCGCGCAGCGGGGAUCGCGGCCCCUCCCCGGGAUCCCCUACGGCCGCCCCCGCAGCGCCGCUCCCCCCGCACACGACGCGCUGAGCGCUGCCGCUGUGCUCCCGAGGGACAAAGGACGCGGAGUGGUCCCCGCAAACGCGUCCCGAGUGGGGACGGAGCGGUAAACACUGCCACUGCCGCCUGGGGCUGCUGCACCCAGCACUGCCCGAUAUCACCGCCCAGCAUCACCCGGUAUCACCCAGCACCUCCCAGCAUCGCCCAGCGCUGCUCCAGACCCACACAACAAACCCAAACUCUGACCACGCUGCCCCGCAGGAUGAGGGGUAAACGUGUUUGGGGUCCUUGA